GCUUGACGAUGUACCCACUUGGAACCGUACGGCUGAGAGCUCCACUUCAGAAUGGCAAUUAAGCAGAUCCCCAGAAACCUAUAAACUGUAACAAAGGUGGGAUUUUCAUCUGUAUCACUUCGCACAUGGAUCCUCCUGAGACAGACCAUGUGGAGGAGCAGAAAUGAGCUGUGACAGUGUUGGUACUCAGCUACUCGGCACAGGAUGAGGGCAGCAAAGCAUCAUUUUCUGACUCACAGUGAAGGCAGGAAGCACUGGCUGGCUGCUCUAGGCCAUCAAACUGGUAUCCUUAGUAUCCAGCAGGGCACAGAGGGUGCAAGAACAGGGAAGCAACCACCAUGCAGACUCAUGGAUAUUUAAAGACUAAACUUCGCUGUUUAGAGGUCUGUAUCUCAUUACUGAGCUCUUGGAUAAGCUGAAUAAGACAGUGUUUAGCACAGUACUCUCAACAUUUUUUAAG
Long non-coding RNA from Corapipo altera (White-ruffed manakin), 460 nucleotides. RefSeq lists it as uncharacterized. The transcript has 3 exons. The record is from RefSeq and is a predicted model, not a curated record. Lineage: Eukaryota; Metazoa; Chordata; Aves; Passeriformes; Pipridae.